CCUACGGGAGGCAGCAGUGAGGAAUAUUGGUCAAUGGGCGCGAGCCUGAACCAGCCAAGUCGCGUGAGGGAUGACGGCCCUAUGGUUUGUAAACCUCUUUUAUAAGGGAAUAACGCGCGUGACGUGUCCCGCUUUGCAUGUACCUUAUGAAUAAGGAUCGGCUAACUCCGUGCCAGCAGCCGCGGUAAUACGGAGGAUCCGAGCGUUAUCCGGAUUUAUUGGGUUUAAAGGGUGCGUAGGCGGGCUGUUAAGUCAGCGGUGAAAGUCGGUGGCUCAACCCUAGAAUUGCCGUUGAAACUGGCGGGCUUGAGUGUGUGGGAGGCAGGCGGAAUGCGUGGUGUAGCGGUGAAAUGCAUAGAUAUCACGCAGAACCCCGAUUGCGAAGGCAGCGUGCUGGGGCAUGACUGACGCUGAUGCACGAAAGCGUGGGGAUCGAACAGGAUUAGAUACCCGUGUAGUC
This 460-nucleotide ribosomal RNA is filed under the name uncultured bacterium. Its description in RNAcentral is "partial 16S ribosomal RNA". It matches the Rfam family "Bacterial small subunit ribosomal RNA", at positions 338 to 795 of the family's 1533-position model. The record is from RNAcentral.